CUUAUCAAGAAAGACGGAGGGACGGGCCCUUUGAUGUCUUGGCAACCUAGAAAUAGGUGCUAAAUCCCACUCCAUUUAAUUUUGGAGAUAGAUGAG
Molecule: non-coding RNA, 96 nt
Filed under: marine eukaryotic metagenome
Description: SAM riboswitch (S box leader)
Rfam family: SAM riboswitch aptamer (S box leader)
About the family: The SAM riboswitch is found upstream of a number of genes which code for proteins involved in methionine or cysteine biosynthesis in Gram-positive bacteria. The SAM riboswitch acts at the level of transcription termination control. The predicted structure consists of a complex stem-loop region followed by a single stem loop terminator region.
Source: RNAcentral